CCUACGGGGGGCUGCAGUGGGGAAUAUUGCACAAUGGGGGAAACCCUGAUGCAGCAACGCCGCGUGAGCGAUGAAGGCCUUCGGGUCGUAAAGCUCUGUCCUAAGGGAAGAAUACUGACGGUACCUUAGGAGGAAGCCCCGGCUAACUACGUGCCAGCAGCCGCGGUAAUACGUAGGGGGCUAGCGUUAUCCGGAAUUACUGGGCGUAAAGGGUGCGUAGGCGGCCCUUCAAGUCAGAGGUGAAAGGCUAAGGCUCAACCGUAGUAAGCCUUUGAAACUGUAGGGCUUGAGUGCAGGAGAGGAGAGGGGAAUUCACAGUGUAGAGGUGAAAUGCGUAGAUAGUGGGAGUAAGACCAGUUGCGAAGGAGGCUCUCUCGUCUGUAACUGUCGCUGAGGCACGAAAGUGUGUGGCGCGAACAGUAUUAGAUAUCCUUGAAGUU
This 440-nucleotide ribosomal RNA is filed under the name uncultured bacterium. Its description in RNAcentral is "bacterial SSU rRNA". It matches the Rfam family "Bacterial small subunit ribosomal RNA", at positions 338 to 795 of the family's 1533-position model. The record is from RNAcentral.